This is a long non-coding RNA of Corvus hawaiiensis (hawaiian crow), 5246 nucleotides long. RefSeq lists it as uncharacterized. Lineage: Eukaryota; Metazoa; Chordata; Aves; Passeriformes; Corvidae. The transcript has 2 exons. The record is from RefSeq and is a predicted model, not a curated record.
AUAUUUCAAAUGUAUUGAGUAUAUUUUGGGACUUGUGACUUUCUGCAGUUGUCCACAGAGCAUCCCAAAGGCAUGUUUAAAGUACUUUAAGCAAUUAAUUUAGUGUUUAUUUUAAAACACUUACGAGAGAUACAGCACAAUAGAAGAGAACAUUGGCCAUGAUCUGUGGUUUCAUUUCCAGUAUAUUCAAUGGAGAGUGUAGUUUGUAUUAUCCUUUUCUAGAACAAAUUGCCUUUACUUGUGCUAAAUGUGCAGGUAUGUACAGUUGAGCAUCUGUAGUCAUUAUGUUUUAAUUUGUGGACAUUUUUACUUGUGUGUAUAAAUUGGGAGCUGCAAACUAGAACUCAGAGAUUCACGUGCCCAGUUUUGAGGACAUGUAUCUCCAGUUUUGGUGGUAUGAGUACCUGAACAUUUUAAAGAUAACAGAGAGAAGAGGGAUGAUUGCAAGUUGUUGAAAUAUGUAAGUGGAAGGGUAGAAAUGUUGAAGACUGUGAAUAGCUUUACUUUCUUUCCCGUGAGUGAAUUCUGUAGGUUGUAAUAAAAGACCAAGUGUAUGUUGGGAUGAGUGAGUAAUUCAGGGAACUGUCAUGUCUCUCUCCCACUCAGCCUGUGGAAUCCACACUCAGGGACAGUCAGCUGAUCUUGGCUGCAGGGCAGGAGAGGGGAAGUUCCCAGCUAACCUGGUGCACACACAGUUAAAAAUGUUUACUUAUUGCUUCAAAGGCAUCACAGUGAGCUCUCACACUGGGUUCCAGUAGACAUCAUAAAAAGUUAGUUUGUGAAUGUGCAGACACAAAAGGAAAAAGGCUUAGUAAAUAAAACACCAGUCUUGCAAGUAAUUCUCAAUAUGGUGUUUGGUUUAUGCACUUGAUAUUUUCAGGUAUGUUCUACUCAAGUGUAACUUCCUUUAUAGGUAAUGCCAAAGCCCCUGAAGCUCUUCAGUUCAAAAGUUAAAAUAGCUUGAUGCAGCAAGGAAGCAAAGUUUUGACAUCUAGAAUGACAGCCUGGGUGAAGAAUCUCAGAUGGAGAAGAUGCAUGCAGGGGGAAUUUGCUUUCAAAACUGGACUUCUGCAGGACUUGGUUCUCUUCUCACAGUUGUGUAGGCCAAGUGCAACCCAUGACAGAAUCCUUCACAGUGAGUGACAUCAGUUCCUCAUAAAGUUAUUAUUUAGUCAUAGUUCUGUAUUUCCAGUUGGUAAGAUCAUGGAGGGGAAUGUGGUGUUUGAAGAGAAAAUCUUCCUGCUGCUGUGUUCUUCUGUGGGACAUUGCCAUGUUUCAGUUGUCCUAGAUUUUAGUCAACCAUUUGAGCUCACAGUCAGCUCAAAUUUAUCUCCUUUGGCUCAGAUGUGUCUGUGUAAUCUGCAGCCCCUGCUGCAGUUGUUAACAACUGGCAGAAAGACAGGGCUGAAGGACGGGGGGGAAAGUCUUUCUGACCACUCCGGUAGGGUUUGUCAGGCCUUGUCUCUUAAUGCCAUGGGUGUUGGUUUUGUCUAAACUUUGGGCUUAAGGCUUUAUUAGGGCCAUUAGAUGGGAGAAAAGACCUUCAUAGAUCUGUGAAGGGAUGCUUACUGUAUUUCCACCCUGGACAUAUUAGAUGUCUGUACAAACUAAUUCUUAUCUCUGCCAUUUCACAGCCCAGGCCUAAUCAGGGCAGGACAGACUAACAGUAAAUAGAUGAUACUGGCUGUAAGUUGAGUUUCUGGAGGAGAUGGCUCAGGCCAUGGAGGUCAGUGGGGCCAGAUGUGUAAAAAAACUCCUUUUUGUAGGCUCAAGCAGCAUGAUGACAGCAAAGCUGGCUGUCCUCAGCCUUUAACUGGAAACGGUAUCUGUUCCCUAAUGGAGGCAAGUUGUAAAUUCACAGAUGGUCUAUAAUUACCCUUAACUAACACUCUGAAGGUAAUAAGUGGAGCCUCACCCCCCUCCCGCUUUCCCCUCCUCCACAGGUGUCCAAUGUGGUUAUUUACACCUGUGAAGAGUGAGUAAGAAAAUAGGUAUAAAAUCCUGUCAUUCAGGUUUGGCAGUGUUUAACAACCUUGUAAAUGAGUAUUCAAAUCUUCAGGUGGAAGAUUGAGUACUCUUUCCAAUUUUUUUUUUAAUCCUCACUUUUUAUGCUCUUUUUCCAUCCUGAAUAGAGUACCUAGAGUGAUCAUGCACAGUGAUGCUUCAGUGGGGAACUUUUUACGAGGGGUAAAUUUAAAAAUUAUUUAGGACAUCUUUUGAUUUCAUCAACCACUCACAAGAACACUGUGUAGCAAAGUAGUGUGCACAGAUACUCCUUAGGGAAUAGGACAGAUGAGUUGAACUGUAUUUUCAUUAGGAAAACGUACUCCUUUUUAUAUCUAUGCAAGUAUUAAAUAUUAUCAAUUCUAAUGCUCUCGUGAAACCCUUUGGCACUCAGCCUUGCCAGGGUUAUCACUGGGAUUUUGGUCAAGAGUAAGGAUUUUAGGACUGCACUGAUAUGCGUUCAUGAACCUCAUUCUUGUCAGUUUACUGUUUGCUAUUUUCUUAAGUGUUUGUCCUAAUUUAAAAUUUGAGAAAUUCUGUAAAGUUGGAAGAAAAUUGAGAGAGUUGCCUGUGUUAGUGGUUAAAAAAUUCCAGUAAUUUUUUGCAUUUUUAUGGUGUGCUUUCAUUUUCUUGGUAAGAAAAAUGUUCUCUGAGUGAGGGUUAAAUGCAUUCUUGACACUUGAUUCCCUCCCCUGCCUGCUGACUCACCAUUUCAUUGGCACACAGCCAUGGUACAGUUGUGGAGUGUGUUUACCAAGUGCUUGAAUCACAAAUGGAGAGUUGUUGGAUUUUCUGAUACUUGAAAUGGUUGGGAAAAGUUUUAGCCUUUCAAAUCAGCCAUAUUGCAGACUGUUCCUUUAAAGCUCAGUUUUGAUAUUUGAGUAUCUUUCUGGAUGAAAAGCAUUUAUUUAAAAAGCGCCAUUUAGAAGGAGACAGUGUCUUUGUGUUCUAACUAGAGACAGCCAUGUAUGGAAGAUGAGUCCUACCAGGUCUAAUGUGCUUUGGGUUGUUCCUUUCCAACUGGCAUCACAUUAGCAUCCAGGAAAAUAAGUCUGCUUCAUCCUGCUACAUGUAAAUACAUGAAGAAUAAAACGUGCUGUUUUUCUGGUCUGAUGAAGGCAGGCACAUCCCAGUGCUGGGGAUGGGGUGGGUGUUAUCAGCACCAUGUCUGGGGCUUGCUCUCAGAAAUGAAGGGAGGAUUCGAGUCAAGCAGUCACCAGCUCUGCACCCCACAGUCCAACCAGAAGGAUGCUGCUAAUCUGACCUUUGCCCUUGGAGCAAGAGCAUCCAUCGGCAGUGCAGCCAGCAGGAGUUUGGAGUUGGUGCUCAUUUUGAGUCUAAUGGGCAAAAAGUAGAUUUGAAGGGAAUUGUUUGCCAGAGUCUGAGCCCCUGACAAAGUUGCCGCAGAUGCAUACAAAAUAAACAAGUAAGAGGCUAAAAUAAUGCAGAUCUUGAAUAAUUAGGCAUGGGAAGAGUUUAAUGUGAAUUCCUGUAUUCAUUUAAUGAAAGUGAAUACCCCAGAGCCUCGUGGGCAGCAUAAGGAGAAACCAGGCGUCUGGAAGGACAGCAGUAGGAAAUUGCUGAUCUUUUUGGAGUAAUAGAUAGCGUAGUACUUAUUUACAGACACAUCAGAAACACAUUUCUGGAUGACUGUGAAUAACUUAUUUCUAGAUGAUAGUAAUUAACUCAAUUCUAACAAGUCAAGAUUGCUGCUUAGUGUUUAAAUCAUUUUUCAUUCUAGAAACUCCAAUGUUAGAUGGCAGCUUUUUAUCUCACAUCUUAGGAAGCAGCAGCAGUUCAACAGCCCUCGUUUCAAACAUGACUCCUGGUUGCAAAGAGCAUUUUCACUUUUCUCUUUACAGUUGUUCACCAAUAUAUUUCUGUGUAUGACCAAUGUAUAAAAUCAGUUUCACAGAUGUGUUAUACAGUCAUCCAGAAUUCAAAUUGAUAAAUGUGACUGAAGGGUUGAGGAACAUUAAAACACAGCACGGCAUGACUUUCUACUAACAGGAGUCAGCAAUAACACUGUAAACGUUGAAAUUUAUACAAGACUUCAUAGACACUGCUGUUAAAUUUUGAACUAAUGGAACCCUUCCUCCAAUGCUAAUUAUGUGUUUCUCAUCAGAGCACUUUAUCUUUUGAAGAGAUGGCUACAAGAUAUUCCUGUACUAUCACUGUGAAGGAGUUUGCUGUGGUAUCUGUCAGCCACUGGGUUUAUCUAGAAGCAGGCGAAGUCAAGAGGAGGAUCUCCACUGAUGCUGGUGGCUCUUGACUUAGAAUCAUGGGGUUUGUUCAAGUGACACCAGUGUCAGGAAGUGAUAAGGAAAGGUGAUAGAGUUUAACAUAGAAUUUUUAAAGUUACUAAAGGUUUCAUUUUCUCAAAAUGAAAAUUGCCUUCUUUCUCCCAUAGUACUCUUAACUGUUCCAGAUGAAAAUUACUGAGUAACACCAGAUGGACUUAAUAAUUGGAAUUUAACAAAGUUUUUAACAGUUCUAUUUUUAUUAUAUAUCUGUAAUGAGCAAAUUUGUGAAACCAAGGAAAGAGUAUAAAUUAAAGCAAAGUGGUGCUAACACAGUUCAAAUGGUUUGAAUUCUACAGGGGGUUUUUAGUGUGGCUUUCUUAGUAAUCUGAAACUCGCCAUGCUAUGACUGGAGAUUGGUUUUGAGGUUAAGUCAGAGUUGUGAAGAGAUGCAUUAUGUUUGAUUAAAUUUUUCUUCUGAGGUGGUUUCAUGACAAAUAAGACACCCAAGGAGAGGUGAAUUCCUGAAGUCAAUAUGUCCAGAAUCAAACCUGACUUUUUCCUUUGCAAGCAAACUGUCCCCUAGUCCAACUUCUGACAAUUGUUUUGCUUUGAAAUCCCCCAGUGUUUAAAAUUGUCUGCUUUUUUUCCACAUGCUUUCAUUUGCUUUCAGAACCUCUCCUUGUUCUUGCCAUAUGCAAUAUUAUUUCUGUUAUUCAAAAUCAGAAGUGGUACAUCUUAGUGUAUGUAGAGCUUUGACCUGUUUUUAUAUCUUAAUUGGGAUUAAUACCUUCCUGUUCUUUUAAAACAUGCAAUUAAUUCUUUAUAUCUACUUAACAUGUUCCUUUUCCAUUUAAUUUGUAUAUUAAUGUGCUGUAAAAAGGAUUGACAUUUGAAAAAGCUUGAACCCUCCCCAAACACUUGGAUGAAGUUUUUAAUUUUAAAGAAUUUUUGCUUUCUUUUAAAAAUGAGUUAUUUAAAAUAAAAUUCCCAUGUUGACAA